Molecule: ribosomal RNA, 253 nt
Filed under: uncultured bacterium
Lineage: Bacteria
Description: partial 16S ribosomal RNA
Rfam family: Bacterial small subunit ribosomal RNA
Source: RNAcentral
UACGGAGGGUGCGAGCGUUGUCCGGAAUCAUUGGGCGUAAAGGGCGCGUAGGUGGCCCGGUCGGUCAGUGGUGAAAGCGCGGGGCUCAACUCCGCGUCGGCCAUUGAUACUGCGGGGCUGGAGCACUGUAGAGGCAGGCGGAAUUCCGGGUGUAGCGGUGGAAUGCGUAGAGAUCCGGAAGAACACCGGUGGCGAAGGCGGCCUGCUGGGCAGUUGCUGACACUGAGGCGCGACAGCGUGGGGAGCAAACAGG